Molecule: transfer RNA, 87 nt
Filed under: Candidatus Nomurabacteria bacterium
Lineage: Bacteria; Candidatus Nomuraibacteriota
Description: tRNA-Ser
Rfam family: tRNA
About the family: Transfer RNA (tRNA) molecules are approximately 80 nucleotides in length. Their secondary structure includes four short double-helical elements and three loops (D, anti-codon, and T loops).
Source: RNAcentral
GGAGAGUUGGCAGAGUGGUCGAUUGCGCUUCCUUGCUAAGGAAGUGUACCUUUACCGGUACCGAGGGUUCGAAUCCCUCACUCUCCG